AGAGUUUGAUCCUGGCUCAGGACGAACGCUGGCGGCACGCUUAACACAUGCAAGUCGAACGAGAGAAGAGGAGCUUGCUUUUCUGAUCUAGUGGCGGACGGGUGAGUAACACGUGAGCAAUCUGCCUUUCAGAGGGGGAUACCGAUUGGAAACGAUCGUUAAUACCGCAUAACAUAAUUGAACCGCAUGAUUUGAUUAUCAAAGAUUUAUCGCUGAAAGAUGAGCUCGCGUCUGAUUAGCUAGUUGGUAAGGUAACGGCUUACCAAGGCGACGAUCAGUAGCCGGACUGAGAGGUUGAUCGGCCACAUUGGGACUGAGACACGGCCCAGACUCCUACGGGAGGCAGCAGUGGGGAAUAUUGCACAAUGGAGGAAACUCUGAUGCAGCGAUGCCGCGUGAGGGAAGAAGGUUUUAGGAUUGUAAACCUCUGUCUUCAGGGACGAAAAAAGACGGUACCUGAGGAGGAAGCUCCGGCUAACUACGUGCCAGCAGCCGCGGUAAUACGUAGGGAGCGAGCGUUGUCCGGAAUUACUGGGUGUAAAGGGAGCGUAGGCGGGAUCGCAAGUCAGAUGUGAAAACUAUGGGCUUAACCCAUAAACUGCAUUUGAAACUGUGGUUCUUGAGUGAAGUAGAGGUAAGCGGAAUACCUAGUGUAGCGGUGAAAUGCGUAGAUAUUAGGAGGAACAUCAGUGGCGAAGGCGGCUUACUGGGCUUUAACUGACGCUGAGGCUCGAAAGCGUGGGGAGCAAACAGGAUUAGAUACCCUGGUAGUCCACGCCGUAAACGAUGAUUACUAGGUGUGGGGGGACUGACCCCUUCCGUGCCGCAGCAAGCGCAAUAAGUAAUCCACCUGGGGAGUACGACCGCAAGGUUGAAACUCAAAGGAAUUGACGGGGGCCCGCACAAGCAGUGGAGUAUGUGGAUUAAUUCGAAGCAACGCGAAGAACCUUACCAGGUCUUGACAUCGUAUGCAUAGCUCAGGGAUGAGUGAAAUCUCUUCGGAGACAUAUAGACAGGUGGUGCAUGGUUGUCGUCAGCUCGUGUCGUGAGAUGUUGGGUUAAGUCCCGCAACGAGCGCAACCCUUACUGUUAGUUGCUACGCAAGAGCACUCUGGCAGGACUGCCGUUGACAAAACGGAGGAAGGUGGGGAUGACGUCAAAUCAUCAUGCCCCUUAUGACCUGGGCCUCACACGUACUACAAUGGCUGUCAACAGAGGGAAGCAAAGCCGCGAGGUGGAGCGAACCCCUAAAAGCAGUCUUAGUUCGGAUUGUAGGCUGCAACCCGCCUACAUGAAGUCGGAAUUGCUAGUAAUCGCAGAUCAGCAUGCUGCGGUGAAUACGUUCCCGGGCCUUGUACACACCGCCCGUCACGCCAUGGGAGUCGGUAACACCCGAAGCCUGUAGUCUAACCGCAAGGAGGACGCAGUCGAAGGUGGGAUUGAUGACUGGGGUGAAGUCGUAACAAGGUA
RNAcentral lists this ribosomal RNA (1470 nucleotides) under metagenome. Its description in RNAcentral is "bacterial SSU rRNA". It matches the Rfam family "Bacterial small subunit ribosomal RNA". The record is from RNAcentral.